Leptidea sinapis is the source of this 1075-nucleotide long non-coding RNA. RefSeq lists it as uncharacterized. The transcript is spliced from 2 exons. NCBI's taxonomy places the organism in Eukaryota, Metazoa, Arthropoda, Insecta, Lepidoptera, Pieridae. The record is from RefSeq and is a predicted model, not a curated record.
GAACGGCACUUCAAGUCAAGCCUAUUUCAAUAAACAAGAAAUAAGUGAAAACAAUAAGAAAGACUUGAGGGAGUCUUAAAAUAAUAUUAUAAAUAUAAUUUUUAUAAUGUUAUCCUUUAAACUAGACUACUAAGAAGUACUUUACCUCCUCCUUGGCACAGGAUGCCGGCUAGAUUAUGGGUACCACAACGGCGCCUAUUUCCACUGUGAAGCAGUAAUGUCUAAACAAACAUUACUGUGUUUUGGCCCAAAGGGAACCUAGUGAAAUUAUUGGGCAAAUGAGUCUUAACAUCUUGUCUCAAGGUGACGAGCGCAAUUGAAGUGCCACUUUUUGGGUUAUUUAAGAAUCCUGAAUGGCACUGAAUUGUAAUGGGAAGGGUGUAUCAAUUACCUUCAGCUGAUCGUCCUGCUCGACUCGAGUGAUGGAUUUUCAUAAAAAAAAGUAUUUAGUUAUAUUUCAAGUACCUCAAAUAUAGCCACAAGAAAUAAUUUUGAUUGUUGUUGAAGCUGAUAUAAGUGUUAUCAAAGUAGUGUUACCUAUUUUCAAUAAGGAAACAGACAAAUAUUUCUGUAGUUUAUUAAAAAUAAUACCUGUUAAAUUUAAGCAUAUUUCUGAAAACCGCAAUGAAACUAAAUAUUUCACUUGCUAAAAUAAUAAUUUUAAUUUAUAACUGCAAUAUUUAUAAUUACUCCGUUUCCAUCAAUCUUACUUGAUCACAUAUUUUACCAUAAAGUGAAAUAAGUUGGAACUUUAUUUAAAUAUUUUUUUUUGGUGUAUUUUUCUUCAAAAUGUAGUAAUUUUCUACCUUAUUCUAACACAAAAAUAAUUAAGCUACACACAUCUAUUUUUGUAUGUGACCGAAAUACUCUAUUUAUUUUAUUAUGAUUUUUUGAAAUCAUCAAUAUAAACAUGUCAAACUUUAAUUGUGAUUUCCCAUACUUCAGUUUAUGAUUAAAGGUGCGACAAGUCUAGUGGGUCAGAAUUUAAUUUUUUGGAUGAUUUAGAUAGAUAGAACAUUUAAGUUUAUUCUUUACAUUUGUUCACUCAUUUAACUAAAUAAAACAUAUGUAUGAA